GUUGAACGCUGGCGGCAUGCCUUACACAUGCAAGUCGAACGGCAGCAUGGGUGCUUGCACCUGAUGGCGAGUGGCGAACGGGUGAGUAAUGCAUCGGAACGUACCCGGAAGUGGGGGAUAACGUAGCGAAAGUUACGCUAAUACCGCAUAUUCUGUGAGCAGGAAAGCGGGGGAUCGCAAGACCUCGCGCUUCCGGAGCGGCCGAUGUCGGAUUAGCUAGUUGGCGGGGUAAAGGCCCACCAAGGCAACGAUCCGUAGCGGGUCUGAGAGGAUGAUCCGCCACACUGGGACUGAGACACGGCCCAGACUCCUACGGGAGGCAGCAGUGGGGAAUUUUGGACAAUGGGGGCAACCCUGAUCCAGCCAUGCCGCGUGAGUGAAGAAGGCCUCGGUUGUAAG
Molecule: ribosomal RNA, 399 nt
Filed under: uncultured bacterium
Lineage: Bacteria
Description: bacterial SSU rRNA
Rfam family: Bacterial small subunit ribosomal RNA
Source: RNAcentral